CCUACGGGAGGCUGCAGUGGGGAAUAUUGGACAAUGGGCGAAAGCCUGAUCCAGCCAUGCCGCGUGUGUGAAGAAGGCCUUCGGGUUGUAAAGCACUUUCAGUGGGGAAGAAAGCCUUGGGGCUAAUACCCUCGAGGAAGGACAUCACCCACAGAAGAAGCACCGGCUAACUCCGUGCCAGCAGCCGCGGUAAUACGGAGGGUGCGAGCGUUAAUCGGAAUUACUGGGCGUAAAGCGCGCGUAGGCGGUCUGAUAAGCCGGUUGUGAAAGCCCCGGGCUCAACCUGGGAACGGCAUCCGGAACUGUCAGGCUAGAGCGCAGGAGAGGAAGGUAGAAUUCCCGGUGUAGCGGUGAAAUGCGUAGAGAUCGGGAGGAAUACCAGUGGCGAAGGCGGCCUUCUGGACUGACACUGACGCUGAGGUGCGAAAGCGUGGGUAGCAAACAGGAUUAGAUACCCCGGUAGUC
Molecule: ribosomal RNA, 465 nt
Filed under: Vreelandella stevensii
Lineage: Bacteria; Pseudomonadati; Pseudomonadota; Gammaproteobacteria; Oceanospirillales; Halomonadaceae
Description: partial 16S ribosomal RNA
Rfam family: Bacterial small subunit ribosomal RNA
Source: RNAcentral